GAAAGUAACGAAGGGCGUACGGUGGAUGCCUAGGCUCUUACAGGCGAUGAAGGACGUGAUAAGCUGCGAAAAGCCGCGGUGAGGCGCAAAUGGCCCUUGACCCGCGGAUCUCCGAAUGGGACAACCCAAUAUCUUGAAGAGAUAUUAUCCCGCCGGUGCGGGAGGCAAACGCGGGGAACUGAAACAUCUUAGUACCCGCAGGAAAAGAAAAUAAAGAAUGAUUCCCCCAGUAGUGGCGAGCGACCGGGGAAGAGCCCAAACCGACGUUGUCUCGGCAUCGUCGGGGUUGUAGGACCGCGCCAUCGCAAGAAAGGCCGUGAGUGGAAGCGACUGGAAAGCCGCGCCAUAGAGGGUGACAGCCCCUUACACGAAGCAGCCCGAAGCGUAGCGGACUCCUGAGUAGCGCGGGACACGAGUAAUCCUGUGUGAAUCCGCCGGGCCCAUCCGGCAAGGCUAAAUACUCGUAAGAGACCGAUAGUGAACCAGUACCGUGAGGGAAAGGUGAAAAGCACCCCUUGCAGGGGAGUGAAAGAGUUCCUGAAACCGUACGCCUACAAGCGGUCGGAGCAUCUUGAAUGAUGUGACGGCGUGCCUUUUGCAUAAUGAACCUACGAGUUGCCGUCACCAGCGAGGUUAAGUGCGACGACGCACCGAGCCGCAGCGGAAGCGAGUCUUAAAAGGGCGCUAUAGUUGGUGGAGGCAGACGCGAAACCGAGUGAUCUACACUUGUCCAGGAUGAAGUCCCGGUAACACGGGAUGGAGGUCCGCACCAAUAAGCGUUGAAAAGCUUCUGGAUGAGGUGAGUGUAGGAGUGAAAGGCCAAUCAAACUCGGAGAUAGCUCGUACUCCCCGAAAGGCAUUUAGGUGCCGCCUGUGGCGUUCCCGACGUGAGGUAGAGCGACUGAUAGGAUGCGAGGGCUUCACCGCCUAUCAAGUCCUGACAAACUCCGAAUGCACGUCGGCCAAGCCAUGGAGUAAGGGCAUGGGUGCUAAGGUCCGUGCCCGAGAGGAGAAGAAUCCAGACCACCGGCUAAGGUCCCGAAAUACUGGUUAAGUUAGACUAACGCAGUCCGGCCCCCAAGACAGCUAGGAUGUUGGCUUGGAAGCAGCCAUUCAUUCAAAGAGUGCGUAACAGCUCACUAGUCGAGGAGCUGGGCGUGGAUAAUAAUCGGGUAUAAAACCAGUUACCGAAGCCGUGGGAUGCGUAAGCAUCGGUAGGGGAGCAUUGCAUGCGGCUUGGAAGGCGGGGCGCGAGCCCCUCUGGAGCGCAUGGAAACGCAAAUGUAGGUAUAAGUAACGACAAGGGGGGUGGGAUGCCCCCCCGCCGAAAGACCAAGGUUUCCUGAACAACGCUAAUCGGUUCAGGGUCAGUCGGGUCCUAAGCAUAAGCCGUAUGGCGAAGGCGAUGGAUGAAACGGUUAAUAUUCCGUUACUGUCUUGGUGUGUGACGCGGCGACGGAGUAGUGACACGGCCGCCUCCUGACGGAAAAGGAGGUUGAAGCGCAAAGGUGUCGAGGAAGGCAGGCAAAUCCACCUUCCGAGCCGAAGCGCGAAAGUACGCCGGGCCCUUUGGGGCAAGGCGAUAGUGCCGGUAAUCAGACUUCCAAGAAAACCCGCUAAACUUCAGCACCAAGUCACCCGUACUCCAAACGGACACACGUGGUCGGGUAGAAUAUACUAAGGCGCUUGGGAGAUUCACGGUUAAGGAACUAGGCAAAUUGACCCCGUACCUUCGGAAUAAGGGGUCCUCGCUUUUGCGAGGCGCAGAGAAUAGGUCCAGGCAACUGUUUAACAAAAACACAGGGCUGUGCCAAUUUGAAAGAAGAAGUAUACAGCCUGACACCUGCCCGGUGCCGGAAGGUUAAGAGGAGAGCUCAUCAGCGAUGAGAAGGCUUGAAUUGAAGCCCCGGUAAACGGCGGCCGUAACUAUAACGGUCCUAAGGUAGCGAAAUUCCUUGUCGGGUAAGUUCCGACCUGCACGAAUGG
RNAcentral lists this ribosomal RNA (1986 nucleotides) under human gut metagenome. RNAcentral describes it as "bacterial LSU rRNA". It matches the Rfam family "Bacterial large subunit ribosomal RNA", at positions 1 to 1999 of the family's 2925-position model. The record is from RNAcentral.